This 108-nucleotide small nuclear RNA is filed under the name Seriola lalandi dorsalis. Lineage: Eukaryota; Metazoa; Chordata; Actinopteri; Carangiformes; Carangidae. The record is from RNAcentral.
GUGCUUGCUCAGGCAGCACAUAUGAAAAAUUGGAAUCGAUACAGAGAAGAUUAGCAUGGCCCCUGCGAAAGCUGCCUCACGCAAAUUCGUGAAGUGUUUCCACAUUUU